UUGCUUGUNCUCAAAGAUUAAGCCAUGCAUGUGUAAGUACACACCUUCCUUUUGGCGAAACCGCAAACGGCUCAUUAAAUCAGUCAUAAUUUAUUGGAUGGUGUCUAUCCAGUACUCGGAUAACCGUGGCAAUUCUAGAGCUAAUACGUGCAACUGAGCUCCGACCCCGGGGCGCUUAACGGCGUUUCGGGGGAAGGGCGCAAUUAUUGGAAUCAUAAACCGAGCGGGCUCUCGAGUCCGUCCCAAAAAUCGGUAAUGAUGACUCUGGAUAACUUUGCCGAGCGAUUAGGCCUUCGAGCCGUCGCUGCAUCUUUCGAGUGACUGCCUUAUCAGCUUUCGAUUGUAGGCUAUACGCUUACGAUGGCUGUAACGGGUAACGGGGAAUCAGGGUUCGAUUCCGGAGAGGGAGCCUGAGAAACGGCUACCACAUCUAAGGAAGGCAGCAGGCACGCAAAUUACCCACUCCUGGCACGGGGAGGUAGUGACGAUAAAUAACGAUGCGGGACUCUUCCGAGGCCUCGCAAUCGGAAUGAGUUUACUCUAAAAACUUGGACGAGGAUCCAUUGGAGGGCAAGUCUGGUGCCAGCAGCCGCGGUAAUUCCAGCUCCAAUAGCGUAUAUUAAAGUUGUUUGCGGUUAANNNNNNNNNNAGUGCUCAAAGCAGGCAAAAAUCUUCGCCUGAAUUAUGAUGCANGGAAUGAUGGAACAGGACCUCGGUUCUGCAUCUUUUCUCUCGGUUUUUCCGGAACCCGAGGUAAUGAUUAAAGGGAACGGACGGGGGCAUUAGUAUUGCGACGCUAGAGGUGAAAUUCUUGGACCGUCGCAAGACUAACUACUGCGAAAGCAUUUGCCAAGAACGCUUUCAUUAAUCAAGAACGAAAGUUAGAGGAUCGAAGGCGAUCAGAUACCGCCCUAGUUCUAACCUUAAACGAUGCUGACUAGCGAUCCGCUUAAGUCAUUCCCACGACUGAGCGGGCCGCCCCCGGGAAACCGAAGUUUUUGGGUUCCGGGGGAAGUAUGGUUGCAAAGCUGAAACUUAAAGGAAUUGACGGAAGGGCACCACCAGGAGUGGAGCCUGCGGCUUAAUUUGACUCAACACGGGAAACCUCACCAGGCCCAGACACCGGAAGGAUUGACAGAUUGAGAGCUCUUUCUCGAUUCGGUGGAUGGUGGUGCAUGGCCGUUCUUAGUUGGUGGAGCGAUCUGUCUGGUUGAUUCCGAUAACGAACGAGACUCUACCCUACUAACUAGUCGGUGGAUCGUUUCCCGAGACGGGUUCCCUUCCGGGGCGGUUUCGGCGCGGGWWUUGGUGGCGUUCCUCUCAUGUMAUAGUUCACUCUCRMUMCUCACUUCUUCCUUCCCACGCGUUCGGCAGGCGUCCGCGCCGUCGGCGAUGUCGUUCUUUUCUCUUUCGGGGGGGAAGGACGCUCRUCUUCGGCGUUAGGACGGCUUCGUCGSGUGGGUUSAGUGGUUGUGGCGGCGCGGUUUGGGCUCGGUAUUGAUGUGCGUCACUCACCCGCGUUCRCUGUAUUCAUCCMGWGUACGGGCCCAACCGAGGGGCGUCCAUCGUAACGUCUUCUUAGAGGGRUCGGCGGCGUCUAGUCGCACGAGAGAGAGCAAUAACAGGUCUUGUGAUGCA
Molecule: ribosomal RNA, 1638 nt
Filed under: Ischyromene huttoni
Lineage: Eukaryota; Metazoa; Arthropoda; Malacostraca; Isopoda; Sphaeromatidae
Description: SSU rRNA
Rfam family: Eukaryotic small subunit ribosomal RNA
Source: RNAcentral